This 373-nucleotide ribosomal RNA is filed under the name uncultured bacterium. RNAcentral's name for it is "bacterial SSU rRNA". It matches the Rfam family "Bacterial small subunit ribosomal RNA", at positions 28 to 404 of the family's 1533-position model. The record is from RNAcentral.
GACGAACGCUGGCGGCGUGCUUAACACAUGCAAGUCGAGCGGUAAGGCCCUUUCGGGGGUACACGAGCGGCGAACGGGUGAGUAACACGUGGGUGACCUGCCCUCAGCUCUGGGAUAAGCCUGGGAAACCGGGUCUAAUACUGGAUAUGACUCCAUGACGCAUGUUGUGGGGUGGAAAGCCUUGUGCGGCUGAGGAUGGGCCCGCGGCCUAUCAGCUUGUUGGUGGGGUGAGGCCUACCAAGGCGACGACGGGUAGCCGGCCUGAGAGGCGACCGGCCACACUGGGACUGAGACACGGCCCAGACUCCUACGGGAGGCAGCAGUGGGGAAUCUUGCGCAAUGGGCGAAAGCCUGACGCAGCGACGCCGCGUGA